CCUACGGGUGGCAGCAGUGAGGAAUAUUGGUCAAUGGACGAGAGUCUGAACCAGCCAAGUAGCGUGAAGGAUGACGGCCCUAUGGGUUGUAAACUUCUUUUAUAAAGGAAUAAAACGAGGCACGUGUGCCGUUCUGCAUGUACUCGAUGAAAAAGGAUCGGCUAACUCCGUGCCAGCAGCCGCGGUAAUACGGAGGAUGCGAGCGUUAUCCGGAUUUAUUGGGGUUAAAGGGAGCGGAGCUGGGUUGUUAAGUCAGUUGUGAAAGUUUGCGGCUCAACCGUAUACUUGCCAUUGAUACUGGCAGUCUUGAGUACAGGUGAGGUAGGCGGAAUUCGUGGUGUAGCGGUGAAAUGCUUAGAUAUCACGAAGAACCCCGAUUGCGAAGGCAGCUUACUAACCCGUAACUGACAUUGAUGCACGAAAGUGUGGGUAUCGAACAGGAUUAGAUACCCUGGUAGUC
Molecule: ribosomal RNA, 460 nt
Filed under: uncultured bacterium
Lineage: Bacteria
Description: partial 16S ribosomal RNA
Rfam family: Bacterial small subunit ribosomal RNA
Source: RNAcentral